CUGCUUCCUAGGGAGGGAGGCUGGGGCGGCAAGGCGGGCGCGGGUGGUCCUUGCCCCGCGCCAGCUCGCCAGGCCACGUCGCUGGCGUUUUUCCAGCGCUGGGUCACCUGCGGGCCGGCGGGUUCCCGCGGCGAACAGCUGGGUGGUAUGGAUACGCCGCUCGAGCCUCCGCAGCGUCAGGUCGCCAGGGUCCGCCCUGCCACUCGCCCCACCUUGAGCUACCUCUGAAGAAAAGAUGAUGGCCCGGUGCGGUGGCUCACGCCUGUAAUCCCAGCACUUUGGGAGGCCGAGUCAGGCGGAUCACCUGAGGAAGAAGACGUAUAAGCCUUUAAGCUUAGUAAACCUUUGGGUUCUGUGCAUUUGGCCAUCAUUCCAGUUGUCAGCAUUGUGCAGGACAGGUACUUGAGGUCUGUUUUUGUGAACCAGGGACCCGAGGCACAGAGCAAGUAAGUGGAUAGAAACAAAUGCUGUAAGAACAAAUAAUUGUAUUUAAAAAUUUAUGAUUUUCAUUUAUUUUUCAGAGGAAGCAUUAAUGAGUAGGUAGUAAUUUCUGGGUAUUAAAAAACCAUCAGAGACAUUUCUUUUUCCUUAUAAAAGAAGUCAUAACAGUGAACAUUUAUAGCACUUAGCUUACUAAGGGUUUCACGUCCUAUAAUCCCCAGCACUUUAGCAGGCUGAGAGGGGAGGACUGCUUGAGGCCAGGAGUUCAAGACCAGCCUGGGUAACAUAGCAAGACCCUGUCUCUAUUUAGAAAAAUAAUAAAAACAAAGGGUUUCACAUGUAUUUUAGAAAUUAGACCUUCCGAAGUUGUGAGAUUUGUAAUAAUGUUCAUUUUAGAGACUAGAAAACUAAGCCUCAUGAAGGCCAUGUGACUUGUCCACCAUUGCACCAGUGCUGAGUGGCAGAUCUCUGGUCUGGAAGCCACGUUCUUCUCACUAUACCAUGUUGCCAUUUUUCAGCAACUGGUGCACGAUGCAUAUUCUCCAAGACAGAAGGGAAGGAGGCUUGAUUAAUUGUGGCUCAGCCUUUCCUCAUAGUUUUGGGGCUGUAAGACCUGUGCAUUGUAAGUGAACCAUAAGGUCUGUUUGCCUCAGAGCAGGUUAGUUCACACCGUGCUGCUGCUGCUUUUAAGCAAUGCAGGAUGAACGGAGCUUGGGAGCAAUUUUCUCUCACUCCCAUGGUGGCAUCUCUUCAGUUCACUUUCUUUGUACUGCUCCUCUUAGGUUUAUGGCCGUGCAGUUGUCAGUGCUCCUGUCAGUCUUUCCAACCUUCCCUCUAAAUUCCUGGCACCAGCAGUUGGCCUAGAACAUGCUGAUCUUCAGCACCCUGACAGAAAAGGCUGCUAUCACAGUGGAAAGUGUGGCUUCCUGGGCUGCCUCUUGGCAAAGGGCUCUAGCUUGUCCAGAUUUGGGUCAGCCCCAGGGUCUAUCAGUUCCAGGAGAGGUGUUGAAGGGCUGUGACAAAUGCCUGCCCUGGCAGAUGGAGGAAGCUCUGGCUAGCUUGAGAGCGCAGUGUAAUAACAGCUGCCCUGAGAAGGGACUUCCAGCCAUUCUUGUGCUCUGAGAUUGUGUCCGGAAUUGGUGGGUUCUUGGUCUCACUGACUUCAAGAAUGAAGCCGCAGACACUUGCGGUGAGUAUUACAGUUCUUAAAGGCAGCGUGUCCGGAGUUUGCUCCUUCUGAUGUUCAGAUGUGUUCGAAGUCUCUUCCUUCUGGUAGGUUCGUGGUCUCACUGGCUCAGAAGUGAAGCUGCAGACCUUCACGGUGAGUGUUACAGCUCUUAAGGUGGCGCAUCUGGAGUUGUUCGUUCCUCCUGGUGGGCUCGUGAUCUUGCUGGCUUCAGGAGUGAAGCUGCAGACCUUCGCGGUGAGUGUUACAGGUCAAAAAAAGCAGUGUGGACCCAAAGAGUAAGCAGCAGCAAGAUUUAUUGCAAAGAGCGAAAGAACAAAGCUUCCCCCGCGUGGAAGAGGACCCAAGCGGGUUGCCACUGCAGAGUUUGGGCAGCCUGCUUUUAUUCUCUUAUCUGGCCCCACCCACAUCCUGCUGAUUGGUAGAGCUGAGUGGUCUGUUUUUACAGGGCGCUGAUUGGUGCAUUUACAAUCCCUGAGCUAGACACAAAGGUUCUCCACCUCCCCACCAGAUUAGCUAGAUACAGAGUGUCAACACAAAGGUUCUCCAAGUACCCACCAGAGUAGCUAGAUACAGAGUGUUGAUUGGUGCAUUCACAAACCCUGAGCUAGACACAGGGUGCUGAUUGGUGUGUUCACAAACCUUGAGCUAGAUACAGAGUGUGGAUUGGUGUAUUUACAAUCCCUGAGCUAGACAUAAAGGUACUCCAAGACCCCACCAGAGUAGCUAGAUACAGAGUGUCGAUUGGUGCCUUCACAAACCCUGAGCUAGACACAGGGUGCUGAUUGGUGUAUUUACAAUCCCUUAGCUAGACAUAAAGGUUCUCCAUGUCCCCACCAGACUCAGGAGCCCAGCUGGCUUCACCCAGUGGAUCCCGCACUGGGGGGGCAGGUGGAGCUGCCUGCCAGUCCCAGUGCGUGCGUGCGCCCGCACUCCUCAGCCCUUGGGUGGUCGAUGGGACUGGGCGCCGUGGAGCAGGGGGUGGCACUUGUCGGGGAGGCUCGGGCCGUACAGGAGCCCAUGGAGGGGGUGGGAGGCUCAGGCAUGGCGGGUUGCAGGUUCCGAGCCCUGCCCCGCGGGAAGGCAGCUAAGGCCCGGUGAGAAAUCGAGCCCAGCGCCGGUGGGCUGGCACUGCUGAGGGACCCAGUACACCCUCUGCAGCCGCUGGCCCGGGUGCUAAGCCCCUCAUUGCCCGGGGUCGGCAGGGCCGGCCGGCUGCUCCGAGUGCGGGGCCUGCCAAGUCCACGCCCACCCGGAACUCCAGCUGGCCCGCAAGCGCCACGCGCAGCCCGGGUUCCCGCUCGGGCCUCUCCCUCCACACCUCCCUGCAAGCUGAGGGAGCCGGCUCUGGCCUUGGCCAGCCCAGAAAGGGGCUCCCACAGUGCAGCGCUGGGCUGAAGGACUCCUCAAGUGCCGCCAAAGUGGGAGCCCAGGCAGAGGAGGCGCCGAGAGCGAGCGAGGGCUGUGAGGACUGCCAGCACGCUGUCACCUCUCAAGCUGACAUCGGCAGCUGUGAGGACCCACCUGUU
RNAcentral lists this long non-coding RNA (3156 nucleotides) under Homo sapiens (human). RNAcentral describes it as "HSALNT0108465". Lineage: Eukaryota; Metazoa; Chordata; Mammalia; Primates; Hominidae. The record is from RNAcentral.